UCCUGGCUCAGGAUUAACGCUGGCGGCGUGCAUAACACAUGCAAGUCGAACGAUGAAACUUAACUAAACUCUUCGGAGUGAUUUUAAGUGGAUUAGUGGCGGACGGGUGAGUAACGCGUGAGUAACCUGCCUUGGAGAAGGGGAUAGCCUUUGGAAACGAAGAAUAAUACCCUAUGACACCAUAACCUCGCAUGAGGAAUUGGUCAAAGAUUUAUCGCUCUAAGAUGGACUUGCGUCUGAUUAGUUAGUUGGUGAGGUAACGGCUCACCAAGACAGCGAUCAGUAGCCGGCUUGAGAGAGUGUACGGCCACAUUGGGACUGAGACACGGCCCAGACUCCUACGGGAGGCAGCAGAAGGG
This 359-nucleotide ribosomal RNA is filed under the name uncultured Anaerococcus sp. RNAcentral describes it as "bacterial SSU rRNA". It matches the Rfam family "Bacterial small subunit ribosomal RNA", at positions 17 to 359 of the family's 1533-position model. Lineage: Bacteria; Bacillati; Bacillota; Tissierellia; Tissierellales; Peptoniphilaceae. The record is from RNAcentral.